RNAcentral lists this ribosomal RNA (628 nucleotides) under uncultured bacterium. Its description in RNAcentral is "bacterial SSU rRNA". It matches the Rfam family "Bacterial small subunit ribosomal RNA", at positions 338 to 956 of the family's 1533-position model. The record is from RNAcentral.
CCUACGGGAGGCAGCAGUGGGGAAUCUUGCGCAAUGCGCGAAAGCGUGACGCAGCAACGCCGCGUGAGGGAAGACGGCCUUCGGGUUGUAAACCUCUUUCAGUUGGGACGAAGCCUCUGCGGUUAAUACCCGUAUGAGGUGACGGUACCUUCAGAAGAAGCCCCGGCUAACUACGUGCCAGCAGCCGCGGUAAUACGUAGGGGGCAAGCGUUGUCCGGAAUCAUUGGGCGUAAAGCGCGUGUAGGCGGCUUGGUAAGUCCGCUCUGAAAGCCCGGGGCUCAACCCCGGGAGGCGGGUGGAUACUGUCAAGCUCGAGUCCGGAAGAGGCGAGUGGAAUUCCUGGUGUAGCGGUGAAAUGCGCAGAUAUCAGGAGGAACACCAAUGGCGAAGGCAGCUCGCUGGGACGCGACUGACGCUGAGACGCGAAAGCGUGGGGAAGCAAACAGGAUUAGAUACCCUGGUAGUCCACGCCGUAAACGAUGGGCACUAGGUGUGGGAGGUGUCGACUCCUCCCGUGCCGAAGCUAACGCAUUAAGUGCCCCGCCUGGGGAGUACGGCCGCAAAGGCUAAAAACGUCAAAAGUAUAGUAGGACCGNGAGAGACGCGACGACGACGACGACGGAGGAGG